Molecule: ribosomal RNA, 492 nt
Filed under: uncultured bacterium
Lineage: Bacteria
Description: partial 16S ribosomal RNA
Rfam family: Bacterial small subunit ribosomal RNA
Source: RNAcentral
AGUGAACGCUGGCGGUAGGCCUAACACAUGCAAGUCGAACGGCAGCACAGUAAGAGCUUGCUCUUACGGGUGGCGAGUGGCGGACGGGUGAGGAAUACAUCGGAAUCUACUUUUUCGUGGGGGAUAACGUAGGGAAACUUACGCUAAUACCGCAUACGACCUACGGGUGAAAGCAGGGGAUCUUCGGACCUUGCGCGAUUGAAUGAGCCGAUGUCGGAUUAGCUAGUUGGCGGGGUAAAGGCCCACCAAGGCGACGAUCCGUAGCUGGUCUGAGAGGAUGAUCAGACAGACUGGAACUGAGACACGGUCCAGAGUCCUACGGGAGGAAGCAGUGGGGAAUAUUGGACAAUGGGCGCAAGCAUGAUACAGCCAUACCGCGUGGGUGAAGAAGGCCUUCGGGUUGUAAAGCCCUUUUGUUGGGAAAGAAAAGCAGCAGGUUAAUACCCCGCUGUUCUGACGGUACCAAAAGAAUAAGCACCGGCUAACUUCGUG